Molecule: long non-coding RNA, 162 nt
Organism: Trematomus bernacchii (emerald rockcod)
Lineage: Eukaryota; Metazoa; Chordata; Actinopteri; Perciformes; Nototheniidae
Exons: 3
Source: RefSeq, a predicted model, not a curated record
AGUCUGCCUCUGCCUAAUAUCUGAGGAGAGCUGACACACUGACAAGGCACUGAUCUCAAGCUCUGUGCGUUAGUGACGGCAGCCCAACAGAGACAAAAGACCAUCAGAGAGAGGGAGAGGACACACAGACUCACUCUGACUGGGAAGGAAAAGAAGAGGCUG